AGGUCCGCUCUGGUUCUGACGUGCAAAUCGAUCAUUAGACCUGGGUAUAGGGGCGAAAGACUAAUCGAACUCUCUAGUAGCUGGUUCCAUCCGAAGUUUCCCUCAGGAUAGUUGGAGUAUUAAGCAGUUCCAUCUGGUAAAGACAAUGAUUAGAGGCCUUGGGGAUGAAACAUCCUCAACCUAUUCUCAAACUCUAAAUGGGUGGGAAGGGUGAGUUGCUUGAGUGAACUCGCCCGACAUAGAAUGCGACGUGCUCCAAGUGGGCCAUAUUUGGUAAGCAGAUCUGGCGAUGCGGGAUGAACCGAACGCAGGGCUAAGGCGCCAAACUCGACGCUCAUUCCAGAACCCACAAAAGGUAUUGACUGGUCGAGACAGCAGGACGGUGGUCAUGGAAGUCGAAAUCCGCUAAGGAGUGUGUAACGACUCACCUGCCAAACCAGUUAGUCCUGAAAAUGGAUGGCGCUCAAGCGUCGGGCCUAUGCUCUGCCGUAGAUCCAAGUUGUUUUGGUCUACGAGUAGGAUGGCGUGGCGGUCGUGAAAAAGCGUUGGGCGUGAGCCCGCGUCGAACGGCCGCUAGUGCAGAUCUUGGUGGGAGUAGCAAAUAUUCAAAUGAGAACUUUGAAGACUGAAGUGGGGAAAGGUUCCACGUGAACAGCAAUUGGACGUGGGUUAGUCGAUCCUAAGAGAUAGGAGAAAUCCGUUUCAAAGCGGGUGAUUUUCGGAUCGCCUCUUCUAUCGAAAGGUAAUCGGGUUAAUAUUCCCGAACCAGGACGUGGAUAUUGAGUGGUAACACAAGCUAAGCUGGGGACGGCAGCGGGGGCCCCGGGGAGAGUUCUCUCUUCUUGUUAACAAGCGCACUGACCCUGGAAUCGGAUCGACCGGAGAUAGGGUUGGGGGCUUGGAAAAGGCGGUUAAUUUUUGACCGCUCCGGUGCGCUCUCGAUGUCCCAUGAAAACUCAGCGGAGUGACUUAUUCGCACCCCUGGUCGUACUCAUAACCGCAUCAGGUCUCCAAGGUGAGCAGCCUCUAGUCGAUAGAAGAAUGUAGGUAAGGGAAGUCGGCAAAAUGGAUCCGUAACUUUGGGAGAAGGAUUGGCUCUGAGGGAAGGUGGUUAGGGGUGGCGUGUUUGAAGGGGUCUGACGGUGUGCGUGCUGUGCGAGCUCUUUCGGGGGCGAGCGCGGCGUGUGCGCUGUUGACUCUGGACGGCGUCACCAGUUGCGUAGCUUUCGGGUUGCGUGGCGUCCUGCCACGGCAUCUUCCAGCUCAGAACUGGAACGGACAAGGGGAACCCGACUGUCUAAUUAAAACAUAGCAUUGUGAUGGCCGUUGGACGGUGUUGACACAAUGUGAGUCAUGCUCAGUGGAAUUCUUGUCAAUGUUUGGAGACAAGCUUAAGCCAUUCUAAACAGCAGGAGUAACUAUGACUCUUUUAAGGUAGCCAAAUGCCUCGUCAUAUAACUAAUGACGUGCAUGAAUUGGUUUUCGAGG
This 1488-nucleotide ribosomal RNA is filed under the name Alexandrium margalefii. Its description in RNAcentral is "partial Eukaryotic large subunit ribosomal RNA". It matches the Rfam family "Eukaryotic large subunit ribosomal RNA", at positions 871 to 2332 of the family's 3401-position model. The record is from RNAcentral. Lineage: Eukaryota; Dinophyceae; Gonyaulacales; Pyrocystaceae.